RNAcentral lists this ribosomal RNA (1260 nucleotides) under Bacillus sp. FXY06. Its description in RNAcentral is "bacterial SSU rRNA". It matches the Rfam family "Bacterial small subunit ribosomal RNA", at positions 106 to 1353 of the family's 1533-position model. The record is from RNAcentral. Lineage: Bacteria; Bacillati; Bacillota; Bacilli; Caryophanales; Bacillaceae.
GUGAGUAACACGUGGGUAACCUGCCUGUAAGACUGGGAUAACUCCGGGAAACCGGAGCUAAUACCGGAUAGUUCCUUGAACCGCAUGGUUCAAGGAUGAAAGACGGUUUCGGCUGUCACUUACAGAUGGACCCGCGGCGCAUUAGCUAGUUGGUGAGGUAACGGCUCACCAAGGCGACGAUGCGUAGCCGACCUGAGAGGGUGAUCGGCCACACUGGGACUGAGACACGGCCCAGACUCCUACGGGAGGCAGCAGUAGGGAAUCUUCCGCAAUGGACGAAAGUCUGACGGAGCAACGCCGCGUGAGUGAUGAAGGUUUUCGGAUCGUAAAGCUCUGUUGUUAGGGAAGAACAAGUGCAAGAGUAACUGCUUGCACCUUGACGGUACCUAACCAGAAAGCCACGGCUAACUACGUGCCAGCAGCCGCGGUAAUACGUAGGUGGCAAGCGUUGUCCGGAAUUAUUGGGCGUAAAGGGCUCGCAGGCGGUUUCUUAAGUCUGAUGUGAAAGCCCCCGGCUCAACCGGGGAGGGUCAUUGGAAACUGGGAAACUUGAGUGCAGAAGAGGAGAGUGGAAUUCCACGUGUAGCGGUGAAAUGCGUAGAGAUGUGGAGGAACACCAGUGGCGAAGGCGACUCUCUGGUCUGUAACUGACGCUGAGGAGCGAAAGCGUGGGGAGCGAACAGGAUUAGAUACCCUGGUAGUCCACGCCGUAAACGAUGAGUGCUAAGUGUUAGGGGGUUUCCGCCCCUUAGUGCUGCAGCUAACGCAUUAAGCACUCCGCCUGGGGAGUACGGUCGCAAGACUGAAACUCAAAGGAAUUGACGGGGGCCCGCACAAGCGGUGGAGCAUGUGGUUUAAUUCGAAGCAACGCGAAGAACCUUACCAGGUCUUGACAUCCUCUGACAACCCUAGAGAUAGGGCUUUCCCUUCGGGGACAGAGUGACAGGUGGUGCAUGGUUGUCGUCAGCUCGUGUCGUGAGAUGUUGGGUUAAGUCCCGCAACGAGCGCAACCCUUGAUCUUAGUUGCCAGCAUUCAGUUGGGCACUCUAAGGUGACUGCCGGUGACAAACCGGAGGAAGGUGGGGAUGACGUCAAAUCAUCAUGCCCCUUAUGACCUGGGCUACACACGUGCUACAAUGGACAGAACAAAGGGCUGCGAGACCGCAAGGUUUAGCCAAUCCCACAAAUCUGUUCUCAGUUCGGAUCGCAGUCUGCAACUCGACUGCGUGAAGCUGGAAUCGCUAGUAAUCGCGGAUCAGC